Molecule: long non-coding RNA, 523 nt
Organism: Octopus sinensis (East Asian common octopus)
Lineage: Eukaryota; Metazoa; Mollusca; Cephalopoda; Octopoda; Octopodidae
Exons: 2
Source: RefSeq, a predicted model, not a curated record
AUUUCACCGAAACGUCCCAGCUCUUUCGAUGCGUUCUUGCUGCUGUUGUUGUUGUAAUUGUUGUUGCUGCUGUUUAAGUUGCUGUCGUUUACUGCAGUUUGAGCUUUGACCUCAGCCAUUUAAAAAACGAAACUCAGCCAUACGAUAUGACUUGGCUGAUAACAAAUCAAAAGAGACCAAAUUAUAAAGGUGUGUGAGAAAAAAAAAAUUCGUUUUUCAAUACAAGUUGAACCACUUUCUAAUAUAUAUUUUCUUUUCUUUCGUGGACUUGGAUGUUGACUGCAGUAAAAAAGCGGGGGCAAGAAGGGAAAAAAAUAAGAGAAGAGAGCUGAAUAAAAAAGGCCACACGUCAAUGUCAAUAUCCACAUAGAGAGAUAGAUAUAUAUAUGUGUAUAUAUUCUCAUUUACUUCCCGGUUUUAUCUUUAUUUAAACUCGCUCCUGCUUCUCUGAUUGAUCUUUUAUCACUGCUGUUGCUGCCGUAAAUUGAAAAAAAAUGGGAGAAAAUACAAACGAGAAAAAUAA